GACGAACGCUGGCGGCGUGCUUAACACAUGCAAGUCGAACGGAAAGGCCCUGCUUUUGUGGGGUGCUCGAGUGGCGAACGGGUGAGUAACACGUGAGUAACCUGCCCUUGACUUUGGGAUAACUUCAGGAAACUGGGGCUAAUACCGGAUAGGAGCUCCUGCUGCAUGGUGGGGGUUGGAAAGUUUCGGCGGUUGGGGAUGGAAUCGCGGCUUAGCAGCUUGUUGGUGGGGUAGUGGCUUACCAAGGCUUUGACGGGUAGCCGGCCUGAGAGGGUGACCGGCGACACUGGGCCUGAGGUAGGGCCCAGUCUCCUACGGGCGGCAGUAGGGGGGGAUAUUGCACAAUGGGAGGAAGCCUGAUGCAGCGACGCCGCGUGCGGGAUGCCGGCCUGCGGGUUGUAAGCCGCUUUCGCAUGUGACGAAGCGUGAGUGACGGUAAUGGGUAAAGAAGCACCGGCUAACUACGUG
This 468-nucleotide ribosomal RNA is filed under the name uncultured bacterium. RNAcentral's name for it is "partial 16S ribosomal RNA". It matches the Rfam family "Bacterial small subunit ribosomal RNA", at positions 28 to 507 of the family's 1533-position model. The record is from RNAcentral.